Molecule: ribosomal RNA, 711 nt
Filed under: uncultured archaeon
Lineage: Archaea
Description: partial 16S ribosomal RNA
Rfam family: Archaeal small subunit ribosomal RNA
Source: RNAcentral
AUNCNNUUUAGGCUGAAAANCUCCCGGUNCCCUUAGGAUGAGUNUNCCGGNCUAUUCAGGUUGUAGUCAGGGUNAAAGNCCUGACUANCNUNCGNCGGAUACGGGUUGUGAGAGCAAUAACCCCGGAGAUGAUAUNUGAGACNCGAUAUCAGGCCCUACGGGGCGCAGCAGGCGCGAAAACUUCACACUGCGCGAAAGCGUGAUGAGGGAAUCCCAAGUGUAUGCACGUAAGUGUAUACUGUUUUUAUGUCUAAAACGCAUGUAGAGUAAGAGCUGGGUAAGACGGGUGCCAGCCGCCGCGGUAAUACCUGCAGCUCGAGUGGUGAUCACUAUUAUUGGGCCUAAAACGUCCGUAGCCUGUCUUAUAAAUGCCUGGGUAAAUCGUGCCGCUUAACGGUACGAAUUCCGGGUAGACUGUAAGACUUGAGACCGGGUGAGGCUAGAGGUACUCCUGGGGUAGAGGUGAAAUUCUGUAAUCCUAGGGGGACCACCAGUGGCGAAGGCGUCUAGCUAGAACGAGUCUGACGGUGAGGGACGGAGCCCUGGGGCGCAAACCGGAUUAGAUACCCGGGUAGUCCAGGGUGUAAACGCUGCUUGCUUGAUGUUAGUCGGGCNCCGAGCCCGAUUAGUGUCGGAGUGAAGAUGUUAAGCAAGCUGCCUGGGAAGUACNNUCGCAAGGCUGAAACUUAAAGGAAUUGAAAGGGGGAGCAC